AGAGUGAACGCUGGCGGCAGGCCUAAUACAUGCAAGUCGAACGGCAGCACGGCAGAGCUUGCUCUGUGGGUGGCGAGUGGCGGACGGGUGAGGAAUACAUGGGAAUCUGCCCAGUCGUGGGGGAUAACGUAUGGAAACGUACGCUAAUACCGCAUGCGCCCUUCGGGGGAAAGCCGGGGACCUUCGGGCCUGGCGCGAUUGGAUGAGCCCAUGUCGGAUUAGCUAGUUGGCGGGUAACGCCCACAAGGCGACGAUCCGUAGCUGGUCUGAGAGGAUGAUCAGCCACACUGGAACUGAGACACGGUCCAGACCUCCGUAGGAGGCAGCAGUAGGGAAUAGUUAGGACAAGUGGGCGACGAAGCCGUGACGUACCACGACCGAUCGCCGCGU
Molecule: ribosomal RNA, 390 nt
Filed under: uncultured soil bacterium
Lineage: Bacteria
Description: bacterial SSU rRNA
Rfam family: Bacterial small subunit ribosomal RNA
Source: RNAcentral